GUCAGGGAGAGAAAAUGGAAAGGGCCAGAGAUGCUGCUGGAUUUAGAAAAUAGAAAUUCAGCGCUGCGUUCACAGUGACAGAGGGAGAAAGGAGAGAGUGGGCAGAGAGAGUAUUUCCAGGGGGAGAUGGAGAUGAUAACACGGAUGUAACAGUGCAACCGCAGCAAAUACACAUGCAUUCUUACUGUAUAAUCAUCCAUAAUACAGUAUCUGCAUGCUACAUGAGUAUUGCAGUGUUUCUUUAUCUGAUGUGCAGCCUAUUUUAGCACACAGCUGACUCUAGUGUUUUUACAUUACAUUACAGUACAGCUGUAAGGUAGUGAUAUGUUUUGUGUUAUUUUGGCUCUGUAUUCCAGCAGCUUUAGAAGCAGCAGUGACUCUGUUGUUAAAAUGCUGGUUUUCACCUUUAAUUUGAGGGUGUUUACGUCCAUAAUGGGUGUAAACAUCUGGCCCCUUUUUACACACAGGAUAAUGAUCCUAAACAGAGACAAAGCAGCCAAUCUGUUUUUAUGGCCACAGACGAAGAUGCCUGACUUGCUAGGUUAGUCACGUGACUAAAGGAUGUGUGUCUAAUUAAGGAGCAGAGGUGGAAUACACCGGGGAUAAAAUCAAGUGUGUGUUGAUGCCUGUUAGCCGAAGCCUUCGCAGAGAAUUGACACCAGUUUAUAACAACCUCAGCCAUCGGUUCUAUCAGUUAAGUUAAUUAUAAUGAACUCACAAAAACACAGCAACAUUACUACAACCUAAGGGUUUGGUCAGAUGACCUUAACCACUUUAUUUGAAGGUAAAAAUGAAAGCGAGUGCACCUGAAACAUUGAUCGAUCCCUUCACUGAAAACUCUGUCUUUAGGCCAAAGUUGAGCCAGGAGGUCUGUGAUGGCCGUUUAAAACAGACAGUGUUAGCUUUCUUCCAGAUAAGAUCAGCCGAACUUUUGGCCUGUUUACAACCUGUGUGAAUGGCUGACUGCUUGUGUUUCUCACCUUAUAGGACCCUGACCCUGAUCUUGUUCAGUGUCAGAAAUGAUGCUGUAAGCUUGGAUCACUGCUGAAAACUUUGGCUACAAAUCCCCCGAGUCUGGAUGAGAACACCUUCAAAUUAAAGCUGAAGGAUGGAAAAGAGACACCAUUGUGCGUCGCUUGGCAAACAAGAAAAGGAGAAACAAGAUGUGUCCAACCUGUCUGAUUUCCUGCUUGUGUUUCUUCCCACAUUGAACUUCUCCUCUGCUGAUUGAUUUUGGUGAGUACAACAUUUUCAUAACCAGUGGCUAAAACUACAAAACUAAGUUUGGAUAAACCUUUGAGGCUGAACUAAAAAGGCACAAAAGAGACAUGAAGGGAGGCAGCGUACCAGUC
Lates calcarifer (barramundi perch) is the source of this 1352-nucleotide long non-coding RNA. RefSeq lists it as uncharacterized. Lineage: Eukaryota; Metazoa; Chordata; Actinopteri; Centropomidae. The transcript has 4 exons. The record is from RefSeq and is a predicted model, not a curated record.